AAGAAAUUUAAUAAUUUUGAAAAUGGGUUUUUUUGUUUUGGCAAGAGCAUGAGAGCUUUUACUGGGCAAGAAGACAAGAGAUGGAGAGUCCAGCCGGGCCUGCGCUUAAGUGCGCGGUCUUGCUAGGCUUGUAAGUUUCUUUCUUGCUAUUCCAAACGGUGAGAGAUUUCUGUGCUUUUGUUGUAGGACAAUUAAAACCGUUUCAAUACAACACACUGUGGAGUUUUCAUAUCUUUGCAACUUUUUCUUUGGGCAUUCGAGCAAUCGGGGCCCAGAGGUAACAAACACAAACAAUUUUAUUUAUUCAUUAAAUUUUUGUCAAAAACAAGAAUUUUCGUAACUGGAAAUUUUAAAAUAUUAA
Molecule: ribosomal RNA, 361 nt
Filed under: Saccharomyces cerevisiae YJM627
Lineage: Eukaryota; Fungi; Ascomycota; Saccharomycetes; Saccharomycetales; Saccharomycetaceae
Also listed under: 1 other name
Description: ITS1-103
Source: RNAcentral